CACCUGGAGUCCGGGCCACACAGGAGCAUGCCAGAUAGAGCUGGGCUCCUAUGGCUGCCAGGAUUUGGAGGCUGGGAAGAACAUGGCAUCUCUGGUCCUCUCUGCAGUCUGAGGACAGCUGGUCUAGUCUCUUGGAGAGAUGGGGCUGGUCACAUUUCUGGGAGCUGGAGCAAAAGCCAAGGUGGUGAUGAGAUGUGAAGAGGGUGCAAAUGGACAGAAAGUCCAUACAUUCCAUUGAGGAAACUUGUGGACCAAGAAAUGCUGAACCAGUUGAGGUCUGGAGUCAGAACAAGAGGCUACUGAUAAGGACACUUCGUGGCUGAGUCAAAUGAUAGCAAUAAGGACUCUAAAGCCUGGAGAAGCAGAUGUCAUUGCCUCCUGCUGAUGGAAAGAGUGACAGACUUUAUUUUCUUGGGCUCCAAAAUCACUGCAGGUGGUGACUACAGCCAUGAAAUUAAAAGACGCUUGCUCCUUGGAAGAAAAGCUAUGACAAAUCUAGAUAGCAUGUAAAAAAGCAGACACAUUACUUUGCCAACAAAGUUCCAUAUAGUCAAAGCUAUGGUUUUUCUGGUAGUCAAGUAUGGAUGUGAAAGUUGGACCAUAAGAAUUGAUCUUAAAGCACAUAAAGAGUGUUUUUGAACUGUGGUGUUGGAGAAGACUCUUGAGAGUCCUUUGAACUACAAGGAGAUCAAACCAAUCAAUCCUAAAGGAAAUCAGUCCUAAAUAUUCACUGGAAGGACUGAUGUUGAAGU
Long non-coding RNA from Bubalus bubalis (water buffalo), 752 nucleotides. RefSeq lists it as uncharacterized. The transcript is spliced from 3 exons. The record is from RefSeq and is a predicted model, not a curated record. Lineage: Eukaryota; Metazoa; Chordata; Mammalia; Artiodactyla; Bovidae.